AUGCUGAAUGUGGCGAUUUCCGGUCAACCCUGUAAUGUAUCUACCUCACCCCAUAUUCCAAAUAUUUCUCCCAUGUCCGAGAAAGCAUCAACAAACAUACCAUCAAAAUUUGUGGAAGUUGCUGCUGGUAAAAAAGUUUGUGAGGAUGGUUGUGAUGAUGUGGUGGGGCAAACUGAAGUUGAGGCAAACAAGGGUAAGGAUUGCAAAUUGGCUUUCAGCUCAAAGGACAAUAUUGUUGCAAGUGGCACAAUUGUUGACAUCAAUGUGCCUCAACAGCUGCUUCAUAAUAUUCCCUUAGGAGAGGGAAAUAUAAGAGGCGCUCCUAAACAAGCUGAUGGAAAGACGUGUGGUUAUUGUGUGAUGCGGUACACGAAGACUGCUCUUCACAUUGCAGCAUGUGCAAGGCAUAUUCACUUUGUGGAGGAACUGGUCAAAAUGAUGGAUGAAGAACACUUGGCACUUCACAACAAGAAAGAAAACACUGCAUUGAUUUUUGCCGCUGAAGCUGGAGCCAUAGAAAUUGCCAAGAUUAUGGUUCAGAAAAAAUAAGUUCUUGCCAACAAUUGUAACUGGUAAAGGACUGACACCGCUCUUUAUAGCUGCUUUGCUAGAACGGUCUGAAAUGGCGUGGUACUUAUACCCUAAAACGUAUCCAACACUAAAUGAAACGAACCGGAAUGCUCUAUUUUUUUGUUAUAUCGAUACUGGUCUUUAUGAUCUGGCCAUGAAGAUGCUAGAAGAUGAUACAACACUAGCAAUGGCCCGUAAUUCCAAUGCAGAAACUGCCUUACAUGUCUUGGCUCGAAGGCCUUUAGAAUUUGGUGGCCGAAGUACUUUAGGAAUGUGCAGUAGGCUCAUGAACUCAUUAGUCUCAGGCAUUGAGGAUUCGUACAAAAGCUCAAAGCAAACUAAAGCCCUAGAACUAGUCGAAUGCCUCUGGAAUCAAAUCUUGAAACACAACGAUGACGAUGUCAUGUGCCUCAUCACAGAACCUUCGGAAGUACUAUUUGACGCGACGAGAUUAGGAAAUUAUGAGUUCCUGUCUGUCCUUAUUAAUGCUUAUCCUGAUUUACUAUGGGAAACAGAUGACGAAAAUCGGACUAUAUUCCAUGUUGCAGUCUUGUAUCGUCAUGCAAGUAUCUUCAAUUUAGUACAUGAGACGGGUUCAAUCAAAGACAUCAUAGUGACAUAUACUGAUGAUGAGAAUAACAACAUUUUACAUCUUGCUGCAAAACUAGCACCGCAAAAUCAACUCAAUCUUGUGUCAGGAGCAGCUCUACAAAUGCAGCGAGAGUUAGUAUGGUUUGAGGAAGUGAAAAAGAUUGUUCAACCUGUGUCCAUAGAUAUGAAAAAUAAGGACGGCAAAACACCUCGAGAAUUAUUCACUAGUGAGCAUGAGGGGUUAUUGUGUAAGGGAGAAUCAUGGAUGAAGAACACUGCAAAUUCGUGCAUGCUUGUUGCUACCAUUAUCACCACUGUCGUGUUUUCAGCCGCAUUUAGCAUACCAGGUGGUAUAGCUGAUAAUACAGGAGCACCAAAAUUCCUAAAAGAUACAGCAUUUCUCAUCUUUGCCAUAUCAGAUGGAGUAGCACUCUUUUCCUCUUCAACUUCCAUGCUGAUGUUCUUGUACAUCCUCACCUCGCGGUAUGCAGAAAAUGAUUUUCUCAAAUCCUUACCGUUGAAGUUAAUGGUAGGACUCGCAUCACUCUUCAUCUCCAUGACAUCCAUGAUGAUAGCCUUCAGCACAGCCUUCUAUUUAUCUUGUCACUACGGAUUACGUUUCGUCUCGGAUUUUAUAUUUAUUUUUGCAUUUGUUCCAGUUGUCUUGUUCGUUUUCUUGCAAUAUCAACUCUUGUGCGAUAUGUUCUUGUCAACAUAUUAUUCGAGUCUUAUAUUUCAGCCAAGAAAACAUAUGAUCCAAUAGAAAGCCAAGUCCUCAAUGUUCAACCUUACCCCCAGAAUAAUGUGUAUCUAUGCAUGAUAAUUUAGGAAAAAUUUGUAAUAAAGUACUUUAGUAAUGGUGAUAUUGAUUCAAUAAGUCUUCGUACUUUGAGUGCUUGAAUCAACAAUGUUAGUGUAUAAGCAUUGAGCUAAUUUGAGCUGAGUGUUAAUUAGCCUAGUAUUUCAUAGUGUAUUCACUUUGUCUUAGAAAUUGACAGGUGUAAGGUUGAGAUGCAAUAUUAUGUGUGUGCAUCCAGCUAAGGCUAACGGUCAUGUACUCUGUGUGUGUGUGUGAUGGAAUAGAAAGAAAAAAACAGAAUAUACAUAUCCUUGCUCUCUGACUUAGAGAGUAAGCAGAGCAGUUUUACA
Prunus persica (peach) is the source of this 2310-nucleotide RNA transcript. It is a transcript of the gene named ankyrin repeat-containing protein NPR4, with no coding region annotated. NCBI's taxonomy places the organism in Eukaryota, Viridiplantae, Streptophyta, Magnoliopsida, Rosales, Rosaceae. The transcript is spliced from 7 exons. The record is from RefSeq and is a predicted model, not a curated record.